RNAcentral lists this long non-coding RNA (1009 nucleotides) under Homo sapiens (human). Its description in RNAcentral is "SCP2D1 antisense RNA 1, transcript variant 2 (SCP2D1-AS1)". Lineage: Eukaryota; Metazoa; Chordata; Mammalia; Primates; Hominidae. The record is from RNAcentral.
GAGGGUUCUCACCCCCCACUCCUUGAAGUCUGGCCAUUUGGGUGGGAGAGGCUGGAGCAGCCAGUGAGGACACUCAGCACAGUGUGGGCAACCGGACAGGAUGGAUUUGAAUUUAUAAAGAACCUGCCUUCCUUCCUUCAUGGUCCAAGCAAAUGUUCCAGGAUUAUAAAUAUCCAAGGGAAACAGAGACCAUCUGGAGUCAUCCCUACGUUGUGGAGGGGUCCCACAAGAGCCCAUUAGAGAGUUUGUCACUUCACGGCUGCCUGGCUGCCAUGGCUCCUUCCAUCACAUCCUCAGAAGACAGCAGCCCAAGCCAAAGGGACAAAAAAGACCUCUCCUUGGACCUAUUGCUUACCAGAAAGAAAAGGUCCCAAGGCCUCCACUGGUCUCACUGGCAAGGACUGAAUCACAUGUCCAUCAGGAUUCACACCCCUGAGCAGGGCUCCCCGUCCCUUGGACAGAAUUGGAGUUGGGGUAACAGGAAAGAAAAGGGUGUUGCACAGCGACAAGUGCCCACCACAGGUACCCACAGCUUCUUCCAUUGCACCUCGGAAGGCAACAAGGAGAAACCCCAUCAUUUUUGAGAGCUUUGGUGUCAUUACAUUUCAAUAACAAAGGUCAUUUCCCUUUUUUGCCAGCCUCCUCAUUGGGAACAAAAUGUGGCUGGGGGCUUUCUUUCUGAAAGUUUGCAAAUCCAUCUCCCACUUGCCAACCCAGCACCUGGGCAGGUGUAUUCACUCACAGGUGUCGGGCUGGCAGAUGGGUCAAACAGAAUAGGGGAAUGGGAUUAAGAAGUGUCACCCACCCCCAUCCCCUGAAUGGGAACAAAUCUAUGUCACCGAGUUUACCCUUGCUGUGAGGGCCUCAGACAAGGUGCCUGCACCUGGGUAUCAGAUGCAGUGAGAGGAGAAGGAAAGGACUUUCACCUUUUACUUUAUAUAUUCUGCUUUGUUUGUAAUGAGUGUGCACUCUCUCCAUGGUUUCUUAAUUGAAUACAAUUUUUCCAACA